GUACUGCUGAGGAGUCCCAUAAUAGGACGAAACGUCAGUCCAGUGC
Schistosoma rodhaini is the source of this 46-nucleotide non-coding RNA. Lineage: Eukaryota; Metazoa; Platyhelminthes; Trematoda; Strigeidida; Schistosomatidae. The record is from Rfam.